AUUGAACGCUGGCGGAAUGCUUUACACAUGCAAGUCGAACGGCAGCACGGGUGCUUGCACCUGGUGGCGAGUGGCGAACGGGUGAGUAAUGCACCGGAACGUAUCCAAUAAUGGGGGAUAACGCACCGAAAGGUGUGCUAAUACCGCAUACGCCCUGAGGGGGAAAGCGGGGGAUCGUAAGACCUCGCGUUAAUGGAGCGGCCGAUGCCGGAUUAGCUAGUUGGUGAGGUAAAGGCUCACCAAGGCGACGAUCCGUAGCUGGUCUGAGAGGACGACCAGCCACACUGGAACUGAGACACGGUCCAGACUCCUACGGGAGGCAGCAGUGGGAAUUUUGGGAC
Molecule: ribosomal RNA, 341 nt
Filed under: uncultured bacterium
Lineage: Bacteria
Description: bacterial SSU rRNA
Rfam family: Bacterial small subunit ribosomal RNA
Source: RNAcentral